GACGAACCGAGCGAACGUUGUUCGGAAUCACUGGGCUUAAAGGGCGCGUAGGCGGGCGGCUAAGUCCGCGGUGAAAUCCUCCAGCUCAACUGGAGAACUGCCGUGGAUACUGGUCGUCUCGAGGAAGGUAGGGGUAUGCGGAACUAUCGGUGGAGCGGUGAAAUGCGUUGAUAUCGAUAGGAACUCCGGUGGCGAAGGCGGCAUACUGGACCUUUUCUGACGCUGAGGCGCGAAAGCCAGGGGAGCAAACGGG
Molecule: ribosomal RNA, 253 nt
Filed under: uncultured Zavarzinella sp.
Lineage: Bacteria; Pseudomonadati; Planctomycetota; Planctomycetia; Gemmatales; Gemmataceae
Description: partial 16S ribosomal RNA
Rfam family: Bacterial small subunit ribosomal RNA
Source: RNAcentral